RNAcentral lists this transfer RNA (75 nucleotides) under Oligoflexia bacterium. Its description in RNAcentral is "tRNA-Gly". It matches the Rfam family "tRNA". From Rfam's summary of the family: Transfer RNA (tRNA) molecules are approximately 80 nucleotides in length. Their secondary structure includes four short double-helical elements and three loops (D, anti-codon, and T loops). The record is from RNAcentral. Lineage: Bacteria; Pseudomonadati; Bdellovibrionota; Oligoflexia.
GCGGGUUUAACUCAAUGGUAGAGUGCUUGCUUCCCAGGCAGGAAGUUGCAAGUUCGAGUCUUGUAACCCGCUCCA